RNAcentral lists this ribosomal RNA (253 nucleotides) under uncultured bacterium. RNAcentral's name for it is "partial 16S ribosomal RNA". It matches the Rfam family "Bacterial small subunit ribosomal RNA", at positions 524 to 776 of the family's 1533-position model. The record is from RNAcentral.
UACGUAGGGUGCGAGCGUUGUCCGGAAUUACUGGGCGUAAAGAGUUCGUAGGCGGUUUGUCGCGUCGUUCGUGAAAACUUGGGGCUUAACUCUGGACUGGCUUUCGAUACGGGCAGACUAGAGGUAUGCAGGGGAGAACGGAAUUCCUGGUGUAGCGGUGAAAUGCGCAGAUAUCAGGAGGAACACCGGUGGCGAAGGCGGCUUCCUGGACACUUACUGACGCUGAGACGCGAAAGCGUGGGGAGCAAACAGG